Long non-coding RNA from Ictalurus punctatus (channel catfish), 3410 nucleotides. NCBI's taxonomy places the organism in Eukaryota, Metazoa, Chordata, Actinopteri, Siluriformes, Ictaluridae. The record is from Ensembl.
GCAAUGGAAGGUGGCCUGGUGUAAUGAAUCACAUUUUCCUUUACAUCAUGUGGACGGCUGGGUGUGUGUGUGCGCAUCACUUAACUGGGGAAGAGAUCGCACCAGGAUGCACUACGGGAAGAAAGCAAGCCACAGAGUCAGUGUGAUGCUCUGGGCAAUGUUCUGCUGGAAACCUUGGGUCCUGGCAUUCAUGUGGAUGUUACACUGACACGUGCCACCUACCUAAACACUGUUGCAGACCAAAUACACCCCUUCAUGGCAAUGGCAUUCCAUAAUGGCAGUAGCCUCUUAUGAAACCAUGAAUGGUUUGAGGAACAAAGAGUUCAAGGUGUGACUUGGUCUCCGAUCAAGGUCUGUGGGAUGUGCUAGACAAAACCGACCACCUUAAAACUUACUGGACUUAAAGGAUCUGCUGCUAACGUCUUGGUGCCAGAUGCCACAGCACACCUUGACAGGUCAGAGCUGUUUUGGCAGCACAAGGGGGACCUACACAAUAUUUGGCAGCUUUUUUAUUCUUCUUCUUGCUGUGUUAUUUGCGCUUUCUAAUUGUAAAGCGACCUUGAGUGUAUAGAUCGACCGAUAAUCGGUUUUACUUAUAAUUGGAUAUCUGUUUUGUAAUAUCAGAUCCGCCGAUAAAUGGCGUCAUCUUGUGGGCGUUUUGAGAAUUACGCACAGGACUACCAUUGCAACACUGCAUAAGAGGGGAGACAAGUCAACAACAGUGUGCCCAGGCAAAGUAUACUUGCUUUGUUUUAAUUAAUAAACUUUCUUUACAUAACAACCAUUAAUGCACAAAUGAGAUGUGUUACAUAAAUGCUUGAUAUGUAGUUUAAGCAGCUUGGCACUAAGAAAUAGAGAGGAACUCACAGAGUCUCGUAAUCUGUUUACCUCCUCAACGCUUUGGUUAAAAAAAAGACACUUUAGUAACAGUGCACUUUAUUUUUUGCACUUUUUCAGACCCCUCUUUUAUUGGUGUAUAAAUAAGAGUUGUUUUGUAUCGUUUUGUAUGCAAGGAGGAAGUGAAAUUGACAAAAUGUUAUGUUAUAAAUGUUAUAAAUAAAACGGUUUAUUCAGCUCAGUGGUGUUAUCAUGUGUCAAAAACAGAAGUAAAACAAUAAAUAAAUAUUGGUUCUUCAUAUCGGUCAUCAAGCACAUAAACAUGCAAAUAAUCUGUAUUGAUUAUAAAAAAUCAAUAUUGGUCGAUCUCUACUUGAGUGUGUAGAAAGGCGCUAUAAAAGUAAACUUAAUAAUAAUAAUAAAAAUAUUAUAUAUGACAUAUAUAUACACAUGUAUGUAUCAGAGUUUCCACUACGAAAUUUUGGUGCCGUCCAAUGUGUCCGGGAAUGAUAAAAGUUUACAGAACAAACUGGAAAAAAUCCAGUCAUCUCAUUCCGAGUGUUUAUUUUGCACUGUAAUGUUUUGGACUAUGCAUGGUAUAUGCGAUUGUGGCGGCAAGGGCAUGGCCGAGAGUCAGCUGGUAGCCCGAGUUUACUUGUGUGUGUCUGUCAGUGCUUUCAGUGCUUCUUAGAGAGAGAGAGAGAGAGAGAGAGAGAUUUAAGUUUGCAGUUGCAAAUGUACUUUGUCUAAUGUCUGCUACAUGUUAAUAUUUUUACCAUUUAUUGUGUCCGAGAAGUUUUGAUUUUAACAGACAUUUAGAAUUUUUAAUGGUCAAAAACCAGUAUUUACAGAAACUCUGAAAGGAAAUUCUCAUAUAUCAUGUACUCUCUUAUAUUAUGAACUGCUAUCAAAUACCUAUAAUGAAUGUAUACAUUUAAUUACCUCUUUAGUAUGCUGAUCAACUGCUACCCUUUCUUAUAGCUGGCACAUGUAUUUUCUGUCUCUUGAAAAGACUUAUUUUCAUAGUGUGCUUUGUGUUUUGUUUCGUCUGUCUGGCUGGCACCUGCACCAGUAGAAACCAUCCACACACUGCUGUUAUCAAUGUGUAUAAAUACUACCGUUUUGCAUGAAUAAACCGGAAGUCUCUGUGAACAUUCAUAUGUGUCAGUGUGUGUUCAUUCAGACUCUCCAGGCGCCUGAACUCUGCCACACAUUCUAAACCACACAUUCUAGCUCAUAGCAGCACAGAACUAAUAUUUAAUAAGUGUAGAACAGGCUGAAAGGGCUGAUGGAGGUCUGGAAGACAUUAUCUGAGAUUUGGAGAUUCCUGAGAUACAUGGAAAUCUAACAAACUCUGAUAUGUAUAUAUAUGAAUAUACAUGUAACAUAUAUGAAAUGCUUUCUAUGUCCAUAUUAGAGGUCAACCAAUAUUGGAUUUUACGGAUGCCAAUAACUAAGUUGGGCAGUACCUGCCGAUAACAGUUUAAUCAACCAAUAGUUUUUAAUGUUGAUACUGAACAAAAACAAACACUCAAGGUAAAAUAAUGCUGAAAUUUAUUACAAAAAUAAACAGUACUGGCCGUACAUUGAAAAUGUACUGUACUUUUUUAAAAUGAAAUAAAUAAAUAAAUAAAUAAAUAUAUUUGCUUACCUUGAGUGUGUAGAAAGGCAUUAUAAAAAAUAAACUUAUAAUUAUAUAUUAUUAUUAUAUCAACAUAUAUAUUAACUAUUAAUAAAUACUGAAGUAAAUAAAAUAUAUACAUCCAAACUGAACCAAAUUGUAACACUCCGUGCUCCGUGCAUAGUGUAGUCUCACAUGUCAAAAACAAGCACCAUGAAGCAUCAGUGCUAUUCAGUACUGUAUAAUGGCAGCAGACCCUUCUCAGCUGCUCCUACAAUGGACGCAAUCGAGAAAAACUAUCGGUCUGGAUUUUUGUCGAUAACCAAUAGUUCCAGCAAUUGGUUAUCUGUACCAGUUAAUCAGUCGACCUCUAGUCCAUAUAUCAGAUUUCUGCGAAGUUUCAGGUACAUAAUUUUACAUUUAAAUAAAAUUGUUUAUCUGCUUUUCUGAAGUGCAGGUGGCAUGACCACAGUUCUUCUGUAACCAUUUCACAGUCACGAUUUUCACAUUCACAUUAGCCAUUCAUGGUUUCAGAAGGGUCGUUUGUGAAAAGAUUAUAUUGAAAAUGUACUGUUAUGUGUCUUACUGUUCAGUGUGUUUACCACCAUCCAAUGUUUUGCUGUAUUAUAAGAAGUUUUUAUUUAAUUUAAUUUUAAUAUAUCUGCUCUAGAAGCACCAAACAAACUAUAGAGGUCUUGUACUAUCGUUAAUGUGGUUACUUUAUUCUUCGGUUUUCAUUCAUCUUCAAGUGCUUUAUCCUGGUCAGGAUAGAGGUAGCUCAGAAGCCAAUCUAAGGAACACCGGGCACAAGGCAGAGCAACAUGUGCAAACACACAUUCACAUGUAUGGCAAUUUACAGCCAAUUUUAUGGCCAAUACACCUACCUGCUUGGAUUUGGACAGUGGGAGGACGAACACGGACGAAGCUCAUACAAACCUGGGAAGAACAUGCA